CAGUCGCCGCGGUAAUACGUAGGGUGCAAGCGUUAAUCGGAAUUAUUGGGCGUAAAGGGCUCGCAGGCGGUUUCUUAAGUCUGAUGUGAAAGCCCCCGGCUCAACCGGGGAGGGUCAUUGGAAACUGGGAAACUUGAGUGCAGAAGAGGAGAGUGGAAUUCCACGUGUAGCGGUGAAAUGCGUAGAGAUGUGGAGGAACACCAGUGGCGAAGGCGACUCUCUGGUCUGUAACUGACGCUGAGGAGCGAAAGCGUGGGGAGCGAACAGGAUUAGAUACCCCAGUAGUCCCUGUCUCUUAUAC
Molecule: ribosomal RNA, 301 nt
Filed under: uncultured bacterium
Lineage: Bacteria
Description: partial 16S ribosomal RNA
Rfam family: Bacterial small subunit ribosomal RNA
Source: RNAcentral